CCGAGUACUAUAACUCAUAACCCUUUGUGAACCUUUAUACCUGUUGCUUCGGCGGCGCGCCUCCCGGGGCGUGCCCGCCGGUAUCAUCAGAAUCUCUGUUCGAACCCGACGAUAUUUCUGAGUGUUCUAAGCGAACUGUUA
RNAcentral lists this unclassified non-coding RNA (141 nucleotides) under uncultured fungus. RNAcentral's name for it is "sequence contains ITS1, 5.8S rRNA gene". RNAcentral also lists the same sequence under 1 other name. Lineage: Eukaryota; Fungi. The record is from RNAcentral.